CUUAGCAACAGGGUUUGACAAGAGACCUGUAACACUUUGUCCAAGUGUCCAAGUCUUGUGAAUUCUAGCGUACAGACAUUUGGAAAAGAUUUUUUUCUUCCUCCAAACUCAAAAGUAUCCAAAGAAAGCUCUGGAGAAACUUCUUCAAGCAGUCACACGACUCCAAGGUCUUUGUGUAUUCAUUUUGCCUCUGCUGUCUCCUCUUUGCUGCUGUUAUUGUACAAACCCCUAAUACUCUACUGGCAGGAGCCUGCUUCCAGUUUCAAGAAGGUAAACUCUUCAAUCUCUCAUGCCUGAAGGCAAAAAAAGAAAAUCACUGAACAGCUUAUCCAAGAACUACUUUUUGCUGAGGCAGCUCCUGUUGUUGUCUGUUUCAAGAAGGAACUCAGGAAUUGGUAUUGUAAUCCAUUUAAUAUAACAAUGAACUUUAGUUUUCUUGUCAGCAGAAAAAAGAAAUAGAAAAGGCUUUUUUUGCUAAUCUCCAUCUGGAUUCAUUUCCUUUGCCAAAAAUUUUCUGUGAUCAAAAGGAAAGAGUUCUAUUAUAUCGUAACUUGCAAAGCAAAGUUUGUACAUGUUAGGUAAUACAUAAAAGGGCAUUGCAACUAACCUCUAAAUGAGUUACCUAUUCAAUAUGUUUGCUAAAUUUUUGACUGCAAAUGUAAAGUUCACAGUAUAGAGACAUAUAUGGCAAUUAUGACAAAUAGUUGCUCAUUUAAAGAGCUGAUGCCAUUUCAGAGUAUUUGCUGAGAAAGAUUCUCCACAACAACUCCCCUGCAGUCCAUGUCAAAGUUUAUUUUUGAUGGGGUGAGAAUUUUUAAGGAUUUCAGGCAACUCAGAGGGCCACUAAAUACUAGCCAAAAUCCUUAAUUAAUUGGAGAGUAUUCUACUGGCUGCAUGAAAGUUUUGUUGAAACAGAAACUAUAUAUUUUGUUGGUGUAAUCUGUAUUCUUUAUACUACAGUAUUUAAUUUUAGGGUAGUUAUAGAGCAGCAAAAGAGAUUCAAAUCGGAGUGCUCUGUGUCCACACUUGCACUGAGAACAGGGAAAAGCAAUUCAGCUAUGAAGGCCCAGAGACAUCUGGAAUUCAUCUGUGACAGUUCAUAUUUCUGAAAUUCUAAAGGAAAUUUUCACCUUGGGUGCUUUGCCUGGCAGAUCAAGCACACACAUCCCCCAAGAACUGAGUCAAUCAGAAAACAAAUGCGUGAGGAAAUUAUAAAUAUAGGCAUUAAGGAUCAUCUGGAGGACUCCAAAUCUGUCUUGAAGGUUGUGAAGUGUUUAUAAAAGGACUGAAAAGCUGCCACUCUCCUCAAGCUCUGCCAGCUCCAGGAGAAACGCACUGCACACUGUGGUUAUCCCUGGGAGACUGAGAAACCGCCUCUGAAAGGAGAUCAGAGGUGAGGCAGCUGAGGGAGCGUGGGGAAGUAAAGCAAUCUGAAAAAUGUCCAAACUUUGUACUUGAGCAGGUGCAGCAGCUCAACAGCAGGGAAGACUACAGAAGAGUAAUGUGUCUGUUUUGUUUGCAAGUUAAUACAAACGUUCAAAGUUCAA
This is a long non-coding RNA of Gallus gallus (chicken), 1547 nucleotides long. RefSeq lists it as uncharacterized. The transcript has 3 exons. The record is from RefSeq and is a predicted model, not a curated record. NCBI's taxonomy places the organism in Eukaryota, Metazoa, Chordata, Aves, Galliformes, Phasianidae.